Rattus norvegicus (Norway rat) is the source of this 3990-nucleotide long non-coding RNA. RefSeq lists it as uncharacterized. NCBI's taxonomy places the organism in Eukaryota, Metazoa, Chordata, Mammalia, Rodentia, Muridae. The record is from RefSeq and is a predicted model, not a curated record.
CCUGGGGCUGGGAGGAGAGAGAUUCGGCACAGACGAGGAGGAACGGGAUCUGAAACAGCAUGGGAAAGGCUAGGGCCAUGAGUUGGGCAGCACGCAUGGAGAACAGCCAACCCAAGUUGUAGCAAGAAGCCCUAGAAGGCAUCUCCAGCUAAGAGCAGCUAAGAGCAGCAAAGAACAGCACGACUGCUCUCCGGUCUUCUGCAUUUGACUAUUUAAGAAAGGGAUUCGAGGGCUGGUUAGAUGGCUCAGUGGUUAAGAGCACUGACUGCUCUCCCAGAGGUCCUGAGUUCAAAUCCCAGCAACCACAUGGUGGCUCGCAACUAUCUGUAAUCCCUCUUCUGGUGUUUCUGAAAACAGCUACAGUGUACUUAUAUAUAUAAAAUAAAUAAAUAAAUCUUGGGGUUGGGGAUUUAGCUCAGUGGUAGAGCGCUUGCUUAGCAAGCGCAAGGCCCUGGGUUCGGUCCCCAGCUCUGAAAAAAAGAAAAAAAAAUAAAUAAAUCUUUAAAAAGGGGGGGGGGAAGAAAGGGAUUCGGGGUUUCUGAAAACAUGGCGAAUGUUCCUGAGACCUGCCGGACAUUCUGCAAGAAAUGUGGGAAGCCCCAACCCCACAAGGACGCAGUACAAGAAGGGCAAGGAUUCUUUGUCUGCCCAAGGAAAGCAGUGUUAUGACAGGAAACAGAGUGGCUAUGGCAGGCAGACGAAGCCCAUUUUCCGCAAAACAUCUAAAAAGUCUAAGAAGAUUGUGCUGAGACUGGAGUGCGUUGAGCCUAACUGCAGAUCUAAGAGGACGAUGGCUAUUGAGAGGUGCAAGCAUUUUGAACUGGGAGGUGGCAAGAAGAGAAAGGGCCAGGUGAUCCAGUUCUAAGCCAUUUUUGCUAUGAUGACAGCAAAAUCUUGACCUUUCACCCCUUUAAAAAAAAAGAAAAAGAAAAAGAAAGGAAUUCUGGCUGGAGAGAUGGCUGAGUGGUAAAGAGCACUGACUGCUCUUCCAGAGAUCCUGAGUUCAAAUUCCAGAAACCACAUGGUAGCUUACAACCAUCUGCAAUGAGAUCUGAUGCCCUCUUCUGGUGUGUCUGAAGACAGCUACAAUUACUUAUACAUAAUAAAUAAAUCUUUAAAAAAAAGAAAGGAGGGGCUGGGGAUUUAGCUCAGUGGUAGAGCGCUUACCUAGGAAGCGCAAGGCCCUGGGUUCGGUCCCCAGCUCCGAAAAAAAGAACAGAAAAAAAAAAAAAAGAAAGGAAUUCAAUAAUCCAGGCAGAUCAACAACUCUCAUAUAAAAAGCUAAACAAUGAAACACAGGGUGACACAAAAAAAUUCUACUGGAAAGAAACAAAUCGGCUGGGGGUGCCCUAAUUUCGUAGUUUGUUUAGCUCGUAUGAAGGGUUAGAUUCCCAGCAUGGCAUUAAAAAUCAGCGGUGGCAGUGAGUGCCAAUAUUCUUAGUCUCUGAGAGAUGGAAACAAGAGGAACAGUUCAAUGCCAUCCUCAGCUAUGAGAAUGGCCUGGGUUAAAUGACACCAUAGCUCAAAAAAGCGAACAAGUGAAAAAUCAGAAAGUGGUCCAUUUAAAAUGCUGCAUGUCAUCCACUCCCUUAAGAAAACUAAAUUUAUUUAGCCUCCUGGCUUCUGAGUUCCGUGGCUCUCGGGUGUCCCCUAGCGUUCUCUCUUAGUCACUGCGCCUGGCCGCGUCUCGGUGUCUGGGAGCCGGGGGAGCUUGAGCACUAAGCGGGUUCCCCUGCGGGUUCUGAGCCAUCCCUUGGGGAAGUGGGCUCGAACUCCCAGCGUCUGCUGAGGUCCGCUUGGCUGCGGCCUUCUGGAGUGCACCACGUGGUGGUGGGAGAGGAUUCGCUGCAUUAAUACCCGGGCUGUGUAAACAGAUUACAAACAGGGGCAUAGGGAACCUGCCAUCAGUGACAGCAGGAGUCUUGCCUCGACUUCCCAAAUGCUGGAGUUUAUAGGUGGCAAGCGACACCUCGCCCGUCUAAGUUAUUUACUGGCUCGAAGAGUCAGGGUCUGUCUGGAAACACUUCCAGCCCCCUGCCUCCGCCUGACACCUUUCUGAGCCUGGUUUUAGGGGAAUCUGCAAAGCGGUGUUACUCUGGCCGAGGGGUUGCCAGCUACAAAAGUAUUUUAGUGUAAGUCCGUGAUAUUGUCCGAACUUACACUAAAAUGCCGGGGUGAGGGCUAAGUCUUUUGUUUGUUUGGUUUUGUUUCUUUCCUUUCUUUCUUUUUUCUUUUCUUUAAGAUUUAUUUAUUUAUAUGUAAGUAUAUUGUAGCUGUCUUCACACACACCAGAAGAGAGCAUCAGAUCUCAUUACAGAUGGUUGUGAGCCACCAUGUGAUUGCUGGGAUUUGAACUCAGGACCUCUGGAAGAGCAGUCAGUGCGCUUAAUCACUGAGCUAUCUCUCCAGCCCCCUUUCUUCUUCUUCUUUUUUUUUUUUUUUAAAUAUUUUAUUUAUCUUUGGUUCUUUUUUUUUUUUUUUUCGGAGCUGGGGACCGAACCCAGGGCCUUGCGCUUCCUAGGUAAGCGCUCUACCACUGAGCUAAAUCCCCAGCCCCAUAUUUUAUUUAUCUUAUGUAUAUGAUGAGUACACUGUAGCUGUCUUCAGACACACCAGAAGAGGGCAUCAGCUCACACUGUAGAUGAUUGUGAGCCACCAUGUGGUCGCUGGGAACCGAACUCAGGACCUCUGGAAGAACAGCCAUUGCUCCUAACCACUGAGCCAUCUCUCCAGCCCUCUUCUUCUUCUUCUUUUUUUUUUCUUUUUUCUUUUUUUCUUUCUUUCUUCUCCUCCUCCUUUUUUUUUGAGAAAAGCGUUGGUCUGGUUCACUUCAUGCAUCACAACGAUUUAUAAUGACAUUUUUGAGCCUGGCGUGGUGGCGCGCGCCUGUAAUCUCAGUGUUCGGAAGGCUGAGGCGGGAGAGUUGCCCCGAGUUGAAAGAAAGCUAGAAGUGAAUUCCAGGCCAUGUCCAGAUGAAGCUGAAGAUCCCCUUCCCAGCCACCGGCUGUCCGAAACUGUAGAACAUGCUAAAAACUUUUGGCCAAGAAGAUGAAAAAAGCCAAAGGGUGGGGGUGGGACCUCCAGGAACAGAUCGCCAAGUGGUGCGGGCUGUUUUCGCUGAGAGCUUCUACUUCCGAGUCUGAGUCCAAUCAAAAAUAGCCUUUAAGAAUAACAAAUACAUAAUCAGACUUUGGGGGCCGCGGUGUGGGGUAUUAGCACAGGAUUCCGGUCCGCAGGAAGGAAGCUAAGGCCCUAGCAGCUGCUGGUGACUUGAUGCCGUGAAAUUCGGUGGUUCUUUGCUUUUGGUCUGGAUUUCCGUAUUCUAAGUUUGAUUCAGCCAUGGCAACGGCGUUAGUUCACUAAUUUUCUCGCUGCAAAUAUUCUGACCUGGAAUAUUUGAAAGCUUCCUUGCUGCGGAGUCAGGCCCUGGCCGGCAACUGGCAUGUUCCCUGGAAAAGCCUUGUUCUCUGUGCGCCGCCUUGGAGUCCACAGAUCUAGGGAUGAAGCAGACAGAGCCCUGCUAGUGAUGGCUGGACCCUCUGCCACCAAGCUGGAGCCCAGCCCUUCGAACUGUGGUUUUGGCAUGACUUCUCUGUGUCAGUGGACAUGGGAAAGGACUGGCAGAUGGUGACAGGACUGACCCUUUUGAUAAGAGAAGAAAGAAAGCAGAUGACUCUCUGGUGUAGCCUUGACUGUCCAGUAAGUGGGAUCCGUUGGGUGAAGUGCUGAGACAGAGGAAGGAAUUGCAGACUGCUGCCUGCAACACAUACAUCUGUAGAGAUUCAGAAUAAACCACCCGAAGUGGGCGGCCACCGGGACACACACCUUUAAUUCCAGCACUCUGGAGGCAGAGGCAGGCGGUAAGGCCAACCUGGUCUACACUGCUAGUUCCAGGACAGCCAAAGCUACACAGAGAAACCCUGUCUCAAAAACAGAAUGUAAUAAAACAAAAGUAAACAAAUAAAUAAAAUUUAAAUUAUUUAGAAGCUA